Globicephala melas (long-finned pilot whale) is the source of this 3096-nucleotide long non-coding RNA. RefSeq lists it as uncharacterized. The record is from RefSeq and is a predicted model, not a curated record. Lineage: Eukaryota; Metazoa; Chordata; Mammalia; Artiodactyla; Delphinidae.
GCCGGGGCCGCCUAGAGAAGAGGCUGUGCUCUGGAGCUCCCGCUCCUCAGAGAGCCUCGGCUAGGUUGCUCCUUGAGGGCAUGACAUUGCUUGUUUAUGGCUAUAUCCCUGUUGUGUAAGCAUACAGAAGUCUUCAAGGUCAAAACUGUUUUCAUAACACAGUAAGUCCCCUACAUACUAACCUUCAAGUUGCGAACUUUCAAAGAUGCGAACAUGUGUUUGCACGUCCAGUCGUGUAAGUUAGUUCACGUGUCUGGCGUACAUUGUCACAUGCCUGCAGCCUCUACAAGUGGUUGUGCUUUUUUGUACUUUACUGUAUACAGUAGUAUAGUAUCUUUAUUUCAAGCCCAGCAUGUCCAGAAGCGCUGUAGCUGGUACUGCUAAGAAGCCCCAAGUGAUAACGAUGGAAACAAAAGUGAAAAUAAUUGAGAGGGUGGAGCGAGGUGAAAAGAUGGUAGACGUUGUUCAUUCUUAUAACAUGAAUCGUUCAACCAUCAGCAUGAUUCUAAAGAACAAGGACAAGAUCAUGGAACAUGUGAAGUCUGCUGUGCCAAUGAUGGCGACAAUAAUGUUGAAGAAGCGGGAAAAGUGACGGAGAUGGGGAAACUUCUCAGUGUGUGGAUGCAGGAUCAGCAUCAGCAUCGAGUCCCCCUCAGCUUAAUGCUGAUGCAAGAAAAGCUAAAAGGCUUUAUGAAGACUUGAAGAAGAAACAUGGUGAAGAACCAGAGGGUGCAUCUUUUAAUGCCAGCUAUGGCUGGUUUCAUCAGUUCAAGGCUAGAGCCAACCUUCACAAUGUAGAAGUAAGUGGCAAGGCAGCGAGUGCAGAUAUGGUAGCUGCCCGGGAUAAGGAGUCCAAAGAGGUUUUUAGCAACUUAGUGACCCUCAGAGAGAAGCUGGAGCUAGAUCUGCAAGAGGACGACUUCAUUGAACUCCUUGCUGUGCAACACGAGGAGCUUACUAACGAAGACCUGAUGGAAUUGGAGGCCCAGAGAAAGGACGAAGAGAGACAAGAGGAGGAAGUAACCGAAGAGAUUCACGACACAGGAAAUGGCAAGGGGAUUUUCUUUAUUCGAGGAGGCACUGUUAGUUUUUGAGGUGCAGGAUCCGAAUGUAGAACAGUACAUGAAGGUUGCAGCAGCCGUUCGGGAUGCAAUCCAGUGCAACCGUGUCAUCUACAACGAGAAAAAAAGAGCUACUACCCAGACAUCAUUGGGUUGUUUUUUCAAGAGGGUAGAUAGAAUUGAAUCCAGCAAGGAACCAGAACCUGUGCCAUCAGUGUCAGGUGUGAGUGAAACUGCAGCUUGCCUUUUGUCUCCUGUUGCUGCCCAUCCCUGAGUUCUACCAUCUUCUACCUCCUCUCCCUCCUCCAGUCAGUAACUCUUGCCUGUUCACUCGAUGCCAGCCCUUGUAUGCCAGCUGUUGUACUGUACUACUGUACUUUUUAAGGUACUGUACUGUAAGAUUAAAAAUAUUUUAUUUUUUGUAUUUAUUUUUAUAUAAACCUAUUAUUAGUACAGUACUACAUAGCCGAUUGGGUACCUAGGCUAACUUUGUUGGACUUAUGAACAAAUUGCACUUAUGAAUGCCCUCUUGGAACUGAACUUGUUCGUUAUGUAGGGGGCUUACUGUACUAAGACGUAACUUACCUUUUCAACUCAUUCUCACAAGUACAUAGAGGCUACAUGAUAUGUGUUGGAUGACAUCAUCACUAAUGUUAAUUGAAUGGUGCUGUAUAUUCUUGAAUUUUUCACAAUUUCCUAAGGUCGUAGGUUUAGGGUAUGAAUAUCUGUGUCUUUAGAAAUUCACUCUUCAGGUUAUACCUCCAAAACCCCAGCAAACCUCAGUCUUAUGCAGUUAUUAUAAAAUCUUGUAGUUUUCCUUGCACCUAAGCAUAAACAUGAAUACAUUCUGUUAUCAAAUAAGGUGAUGAAUAUUUCAGAGUUGUCUGACACAUAGGGAGAAUCAACUCCAAAAAACUAUGAGAAAAACCUACUGAAGUAUCUUAAAGGAUAGGUUAUUGUAUGAGAUUACAUGCUUUGUAAUGUGCCGUUCUUUGUUGAAAAUAGUUACUUCCGUGAAAGUGUUAAUAUUUUUACUGUAUUUUACUUUUUUUCUGUUUUUCUAAUUAUGGUAAAAUAUUGGUAAACAAAGCUACUUGGAGCCCUCAGUUUUUAAGAAUGUGAAGGGGUCCUGAGCCAAGAAGUUUGAGAAAGCUGCUGUAGCACAGUGUAUAUUGUAAACAAACACUCAUGCCUGUUGAGUAGCUGGAUGUAGCUAAAAAUGACUCCCAGCACUAAGUGUGGAUUACUGGGAGGAUGGGCACGCUAAGACAGGGAGCGGGUUUUAGUGGAGAAAGAUAGGUUCCUGUUGAGUUUAAGUAGGACUUACAGGAGAAGGGAUAACAAUAGUAGGCAGUUGGAAAUUCAGAAUUUGGGCGUGAGAAAAACUAAAACACCAUUCUCCUUUGCAGUGAAAACUGCUUUCAUCAUGGAAUAUAUCACUGAACAGCUACUACCUCACAACUGAUUGGCAUACGUGUUAGCCUUGGGGCAAAAGUAUGAGGGUGACAGAGCAGGCUUCUUGUAAACAAUGAUGAAUAUUUUCACAUGGUGCACUUUUUAAAAUUUGGCACAGGAGAGACCUAUAUAUGGUGUUUCUCCUGAACUUAAAAAAAAAAUGUAACCAAGGUACAAUAAUUUGAUUUUUUUGUCCUAGAAGUUUCAAACUUUCAUCAUAUUCCCACAUAACACCUCAUCUGAACUUGGAAAAGGCUAUGCUUAGAAUAAGGAUGUUCUACUUUUCCUAUGCCUAGCUCAGUAAUUAAUAUUAAGCACUUGUGGGCAUGAGUAUACUUCAGGCACUUUACAGACCUUUUAAAAUACUUCCUUUUUUCAGUCUUCAGCUUACCUUUUGGUCCUUGCAGUGGAAACAUGAGCCAUGUCUGCAAUGUGACAUGUCAGAAUCUAAAAUUUUCUGAAAGUCUUAUUACCAUUUUAAAAGAAAUGUUUAAACAAAUGUUUCCCUCUCUAGCCAAGUAGUAUAUUGUCUCUGGGAGAUAACCAUCUUCCUUUAAUUUCAUUAAAUUUAUAAAAUCUG